CAGUCGCCACGGGAAUACGGAGGGUGCAAGCGUUAAUCGGAAUUACUGGGCGUAAAGCGUGCGUAGGCGGUUCGUUAAGUCUGUUGUGAAAGCCCCGGGCUCAACCUGGGAAUGGCAAUGGAUACUGGCGAGCUAGAGUGUGUCAGAGGAUGGUGGAAUUCCCGGUGUAGCAGUGAAAUGCGUAGAGAUCGGAAGGAACAUCUGUGGCGAAGGCGACUAUCUGGGCCAACACUGACACUGAGGCACGAAAGCGUGGGGAGCAAACAGGAUUAGAUACCCGCGUAGUCCCUGUCUCUUAUAA
RNAcentral lists this ribosomal RNA (301 nucleotides) under uncultured bacterium. Its description in RNAcentral is "partial 16S ribosomal RNA". It matches the Rfam family "Bacterial small subunit ribosomal RNA", at positions 509 to 809 of the family's 1533-position model. The record is from RNAcentral.